This 288-nucleotide unclassified non-coding RNA is filed under the name Hevea brasiliensis (rubber tree). Lineage: Eukaryota; Viridiplantae; Streptophyta; Magnoliopsida; Malpighiales; Euphorbiaceae. The record is from RNAcentral.
GGUAUAGUGAAUUCUGCUUUCAGAACCUUUUGAUCUUGUUCAUUUGCCUUCUCUCGUCAAUAAACAAGUGUUAAUCAAAAUUCUACAUAGCUUGGAAGUAACUAAUUCCAACCACAAUUUCAUUAUUAAAUUCUGUAAAUUAUUUAUUGUUGAAAUUUAGGAAUUACUAACCGUCUAACCUAGACUCUAUAUCCUCCCCGCCCCAAUUACUUGCUUCCAGAUUAUAACAUGAGGUUUCUACUAAGUAAUACCUUAUUUGCCAUGUAAUUAAAAGCCGCUUUAAAUUAA